This 738-nucleotide ribosomal RNA is filed under the name Aspergillus fumigatus. Its description in RNAcentral is "LSU rRNA". It matches the Rfam family "Eukaryotic large subunit ribosomal RNA", at positions 169 to 922 of the family's 3401-position model. Lineage: Eukaryota; Fungi; Ascomycota; Eurotiomycetes; Eurotiales; Aspergillaceae. The record is from RNAcentral.
UGCAGCCCCCGUCUAAGUGCCCUGGAACGGGCCGUCAUAGAGGGUGAGAAUCCCGUCUGGGACGGGGUGUCUGCGUCCGUGUGAAGCUCCUUCGACGAGUCGAGUUGUUUGGGAAUGCAGCUCUAAAUGGGUGGUAAAUUUCAUCUAAAGCUAAAUACUGGCCGGAGACCGAUAGCGCACAAGUAGAGUGAUCGAAAGAUGAAAAGCACUUUGAAAAGAGAGUUAAACAGCACGUGAAAUUGUUGAAAGGGAAGCGUUUGCGACCAGACUCGCCCGCGGGGUUCAGCCGGCAUUCGUGCCGGUGUACUUCCCCGUGGGCGGGCCAGCGUCGGUUUGGGCGGCCGGUCAAAGGCCCUCGGAAUGUAUCACCUCUCGGGGUGUCUUAUAGCCGAGGGUGCAAUGCGGCCUGCCUGGACCGAGGAACGCGCUUCGGCUCGGACGCUGGCGUAAUGGUCGUAAAUGACCCGUCUUGAAACACGGACCAAGGAGUCUAACAUCUACGCGAGUGUUCGGGUGUCAAACCCGUACGCGCAGUGAAAGCGAACGGAGGUGGGAGCCCCCUCGCGGGGCGCACCAUCGACCGAUCCUGAUGUCUUCGGAUGGAUUUGAGUACGAGCGUAGCUGUGGGGACCCGAAAGAUGGUGAACUAUGCCUGAAUAGGGCGAAGCCAGAGGAAACUCUGGUGGAGGCUCGCAGCGGUUCUGACGUGCAAAUCGAUCGUCAAAUUUGGGUAUAGGG